This is a long non-coding RNA of Triticum aestivum (bread wheat), 753 nucleotides long. RefSeq lists it as uncharacterized. The transcript has 2 exons. The record is from RefSeq and is a predicted model, not a curated record. Lineage: Eukaryota; Viridiplantae; Streptophyta; Magnoliopsida; Poales; Poaceae.
GUGCCACAUAUAUUACAACUACUGGAUAGUACUCUUAAUUAAGGAUACUACAGAUAGAUAGUACUCUUCACGAUACUAGAGAUAGAUAGACCGCAUAAAGCUCGGGCGGGGGCGAUUGAGUCGCUCAGGCGGCGGAGAUGCUCAGGCGGCCUUUAUGAGUAGCUCAGGCGGCGGAUCUUUGCCAAACACGCUACGAUAUCCUGCUGGAAGGCGGCCAUGCUGUCGUCCAUCUCGUUGAAGAAGUCAGCGUCGUCGUCCUCCUCCGGGUCGAGGGGGCGGGCUUAUCCGAGGACAGGAUGCUUUCGAUCCUCUCUAGAAACAUCAUGUUGUUCACCGGAGGAUGAACACCCACCUUGCACCUGGGAUCACCACAAGUGGCCUCUUUUCCAUCAAGACGCGCCACCUCCUUGUGCAUGGAGGACCCCUUCUUGGAACACCGCUUCUCUGGAAGACGAUUGGAGGUAACGGAAGCCUCCACCAUCACCACCUUACGGGCCUUGGAAGAAGACCCCUUCUUGUUCUUCCGACCAGAACAAGGACGCACCGACACAGCCGGAUCCUCGAACCGAUCUAACUCGCCGGCAGUCGCCAUCUCUGGAUCUAAGAGGGUGUUUGUUUCCACGGACUUAUUGGUUUAGGGACUUAAAAAGGUCCCUAUAAGUUCCAUCUAAACCAAACAUAAGGAACUUAUAGGGACUUAAAGUGGGCAUUUGGAACUUAUGAAAUAAGAUUCUCAAGGAGGGAUUUAUAAUU